Molecule: long non-coding RNA, 302 nt
Organism: Myotis brandtii (Brandt's bat)
Lineage: Eukaryota; Metazoa; Chordata; Mammalia; Chiroptera; Vespertilionidae
Exons: 3
Source: RefSeq, a predicted model, not a curated record
CACUUCCUCUUGCUCACCAUGCCUUAACUUGAUUCUUUUAUCAGGAAUCCAGAACUUCUUAGUUCCUUCGGGUCCCUGUUCUGUUCAGGCGCCAGAUAUUGAUGUUCUUUGUGAACGGGCUGAGAUGAGCUUGGCGUGCAGGAUUAAGUUUAGAGAAGCAGAGGGCUACCGCUGGCUCAGGCGUGUAGCAAAGCCCCCAAAGCCCUCAUGGCUUUUAUCUGGGGAGUACAGCAAAUAACAAUGGAGUACAGCAAGUGACAAUGAUUAACAGGCAUGCUUAUGAGAUCAUCAGAGCUAAGUUA